Small nuclear RNA from Oryctolagus cuniculus (rabbit), 106 nucleotides. The record is from Ensembl. Lineage: Eukaryota; Metazoa; Chordata; Mammalia; Lagomorpha; Leporidae.
GUGCUUGCUUCGGCAGCACAUAUACUAAAAUUGGAAUGAUAUAGAGAAGAUUAGCAUGGCCCCUGCCAAGGAUGAUAUGCAAAUUUGUGAAGAAUUCUGUAGUUAA